This 712-nucleotide ribosomal RNA is filed under the name Bacillus sp. FJAT-4623. RNAcentral describes it as "bacterial SSU rRNA". It matches the Rfam family "Bacterial small subunit ribosomal RNA", at positions 61 to 753 of the family's 1533-position model. The record is from RNAcentral. Lineage: Bacteria; Bacillati; Bacillota; Bacilli; Caryophanales; Bacillaceae.
GUCGAGCGAAUGGAUUAAGAGCUUGCUCUUAUGAAGUUAGCGGCGGACGGGUGAGUAACACGUGGGUAACCUGCCCAUAAGACUGGGAUAACUCCGGGAAACCGGGGCUAAUACCGGAUAACAUUUUGAACCGCAUGGUUCGAAAUUGAAAGGCGGCUUCGGCUGUCACUUAUGGAUGGACCCGCGUCGCAUUAGCUAGUUGGUGAGGUAACGGCUCACCAAGGCAACGAUGCGUAGCCGACCUGAGAGGGUGAUCGGCCACACUGGGACUGAGACACGGCCCAGACUCCUACGGGAGGCAGCAGUAGGGAAUCUUCCGCAAUGGACGAAAGUCUGACGGAGCAACGCCGCGUGAGUGAUGAAGGCUUUCGGGUCGUAAAACUCUGUUGUUAGGGAAGAACAAGUGCUAGUUGAAUAAGCUGGCACCUUGACGGUACCUAACCAGAAAGCCACGGCUAACUACGUGCCAGCAGCCGCGGUAAUACGUAGGUGGCAAGCGUUAUCCGGAAUUAUUGGGCGUAAAGCGCGCGCAGGUGGUUUCUUAAGUCUGAUGUGAAAGCCCACGGCUCAACCGUGGAGGGUCAUUGGAAACUGGGAGACUUGAGUGCAGAAGAGGAAAGUGGAAUUCCAUGUGUAGCGGUGAAAUGCGUAGAGAUAUGGAGGAACACCAGUGGCGAAGGCGACUUUCUGGUCUGUAACUGACACUGAGGCG